RNAcentral lists this ribosomal RNA (453 nucleotides) under uncultured bacterium. RNAcentral describes it as "bacterial SSU rRNA". It matches the Rfam family "Bacterial small subunit ribosomal RNA", at positions 340 to 786 of the family's 1533-position model. The record is from RNAcentral.
UACGGGAGGCAGCAGUGGGGAAUAUUGCACAAUGGGCGCAAGCCUGAUGCAGCCAUGCCGCGUGUAUGAAGAAGGUCUUCGGGUUGUAAAGUACUUUCAGUCGUGAGGAAGGUGUUAAGGUUAAUAACCUUAGCAAUUGACGUUAGCGACAGAAGAAGCACCGGCUAACUCCGUGCCAGCAGCCGCGGUAAUACGGAGGGUGCGAGCGUUAAUCGGAAUUACUGGGCGUAAAGGGCACGCAGGCGGUUAAUUAAGUUGGAUGUGAAAUCCCCGGGCUUAACCUGGGAAUGGCAUUCAAGACUGGUUAGCUAGAGUCUUGUAGAGGGGGUAGAAUUCCAUGUGUAGCGGUGAAAUGCGUAGAGAUGUGGAGGAAUACCGGUGGCGAAGGCGGCCCCUGGGACAAAGACUGACGCUCAUGUGCGAAAGCGUGGGGAGCAAACAGGAUUAGAUACC